CCUACGGGAGACAGCAGUGGGGAAUAUUGGGCAAUGGGCGCAAGCCUGACCCAGCAACGCCGCGUGAAGGAAGAAGGCUUUCGGGUUGUAAACUUCUUUUCUGAGGGACGAAGAAAGUGACGGUACCUCAGGAAUAAGCCACGGCUAACUACGUGCCAGCAGCCGCGGUAAUACGUAGGUGGCAAGCGUUAUCCGGAUAUAUUGGGUGUAAAGUGCGUGUAGGCGGGAAAGCAAGUCAGAUGUAAAAACUCAGGGCUAAACCCUGAGCCUGCAUGUGAAACUGUUUUUCUUGAGUGCUGGAGAGGCAAUCGGAAUUCCGUGGGUAGCGGUGAAAUGCGUAGAUAUACGGAGGAACACCAGUGGCGAAGGCGGAUUGCUGGACAGUAACUGACGCUGAGGCGCGAAAGCGUAGGGAGCAAACAGGAUUAGAUACCCGAGUAGUC
RNAcentral lists this ribosomal RNA (443 nucleotides) under uncultured bacterium. RNAcentral's name for it is "partial 16S ribosomal RNA". It matches the Rfam family "Bacterial small subunit ribosomal RNA", at positions 338 to 795 of the family's 1533-position model. The record is from RNAcentral.